This is a long non-coding RNA of Humulus lupulus (European hop), 711 nucleotides long. RefSeq lists it as uncharacterized. The transcript has 4 exons. Lineage: Eukaryota; Viridiplantae; Streptophyta; Magnoliopsida; Rosales; Cannabaceae. The record is from RefSeq and is a predicted model, not a curated record.
AUUAAUGGUCACAUAUAUGGAAAAGGGUGGCUGGCCAUGUGCUAUUUUAGAGUGGUGUGAACCCAAUUUUAUAAAAUUCAAAUCCCAUUUAAUUAAGAAGUCAAGUGGGCAAGUGGGUAGAAAAGCACUCAAGUGUUUUGUGAUAUUUUGAAGAGUUGUGUGAGCCAUUCUAACCCCCAAAUCCGACCACUCUCCCUCCCUCAUUCACUCUCAUCUGAUUUUUGAAGACUCUCUCAAGUGUUCUCUCCAUUUUCAACCCCAAGAACACCAAAGAAACUUGGAAGCUAAGUCUUGGUCUAGGAAGGGUUUUCCCUAAGGGUUUUUGAAAGGUUUUGGAGGAGCCAAAGAUAAUAGGAAGGUCCAAACCUUAAGCAAGAACACCAAAGAGUAUUGGCUAAGCGUAACUGGACUGAACGUUGGAGGGUGAAAACUUGCUGAGCGCAAAGGACUCCAAGUAAGAACAAGGGCAAGGCAGAGCAGUGAGCGUUGGAGUCUUCCUUGCAAAUGUACAUGUGGACCGACCUUUUGGGAAGCCUUUUUAUUUUUGGAAAUGUUGUGUAAUUUUCCUAAACUAGGCUCACUCUAAUCUUUAUAAAACAUGUUUGUAACUAAAUGUUAAGUAUGGCCAUACGACUUUUUAAAAAAGUUUUUUAUCUAUGGGUUUUUGAGACAUUUUGUUAAAUGAAAACAUUUAUAUUUCCGCAUUGUCGA